This 445-nucleotide ribosomal RNA is filed under the name Streptococcus cristatus. RNAcentral's name for it is "bacterial SSU rRNA". It matches the Rfam family "Bacterial small subunit ribosomal RNA", at positions 28 to 465 of the family's 1533-position model. The record is from RNAcentral. Lineage: Bacteria; Bacillati; Bacillota; Bacilli; Lactobacillales; Streptococcaceae.
GACGAACGCUGGCGGCGUGCCUAAUACAUGCAAGUAGAACGCUGAAGGGAGAGCUUGCUCUUCUGGAUGAGUUGCGAACGGGUGAGUAACGCGUAGGUAACCUGCCUGGUAGCGGGGGAUAACUAUUGGAAACGAUAGCUAAUACCGCAUAACAUUGACUAUUGCAUGAUAGUCAAUUGAAAGGUGCAAAUGCACCACUACCAGAUGGACCUGCGUUGUAUUAGCUAGUUGGUGGGGUAACGGCUCACCAAGGCGACGAUACAUAGCCGACCUGAGAGGGUGAUCGGCCACACUGGGACUGAGACACGGCCCAGACUCCUACGGGAGGCAGCAGUAGGGAAUCUUCGGCAAUGGACGGAAGUCUGACCGAGCAACGCCGCGUGAGUGAAGAAGGUUUUCGGAUCGUAAAGCUCUGUUGUGAGAGAAGAACGAGUGUGAGAGUGGA